UGUCUGGAACUUUGGAUUAAGAAUUGGUGGAAUACCAGGCAAUCCGAAACUCUCUUAACUGAUAUUCAAGAGAAAAGGAUUCUAGAAAGAUUCAUAGAAUUAGAAGAACUUUCUCUCUUGGACGAGAUGGUAAAAGGGAAACUAAAGACACAUGUACAAAAACCAAGGAGAAGGCAUUUCAACAAAUUAGAAGCAAUGAAAGCUAGACACCAUAUGAAAGAUGCAACAAAUAUCAUUCUACCAACUUAA
RNAcentral lists this ribosomal RNA (249 nucleotides) under Triticum aestivum (bread wheat). Its description in RNAcentral is "partial small subunit ribosomal RNA". Lineage: Eukaryota; Viridiplantae; Streptophyta; Magnoliopsida; Poales; Poaceae. The record is from RNAcentral.